CUACGUGCCAGCAGCCGCGGUAAUACGUAGGGCGCGAGCGUUGUCCGGAAUUAUUGGGCGUAAAGAGCUUGUAGGCGGUUUGUCGCGUCUGCUGUGAAAGGCCGGGGCUUAACCCCGUGUAUUGCAGUGGGUACGGGCAGACUAGAGUGCAGUAGGGGAGACUGGAACUCCUGGUGUAGCGGUGGAAUGCGCAGAUAUCAGGAAGAACACCGAUGGCGAAGGCAGGUCUCUGGGCUGUAACUGACGCUGAGAAGCGAAAGCAUGGGGAGCGAACAGGAUCAGAUACCCUGGUAGUCCAUGCCGUAAACGUUGGGCACUAGGUGUGGGGGGCAUUCCACGUUUUCCGCGCCGUAGCUAACGCAUUAAGUGCCCCGCCUGGGGAGUACGGCCGCAAGGCUAAAACUCAAAGAAAUUGACGGGGGCCCGCACAAGCGGCGGAGCAUGCGGAUUAAUUCGAUGCAACGCGAAGAACCUUACCAAGGCUUGACAU
RNAcentral lists this ribosomal RNA (490 nucleotides) under uncultured bacterium. Its description in RNAcentral is "bacterial SSU rRNA". It matches the Rfam family "Bacterial small subunit ribosomal RNA", at positions 501 to 987 of the family's 1533-position model. The record is from RNAcentral.